Molecule: ribosomal RNA, 1319 nt
Filed under: Sardinella aurita (round sardinella)
Lineage: Eukaryota; Metazoa; Chordata; Actinopteri; Clupeiformes; Clupeidae
Description: partial 16S ribosomal RNA
Rfam family: Bacterial large subunit ribosomal RNA
Source: RNAcentral
UGAAACAGCGCACUAAAGUAAAUAAAAGCAGAGACUAAGCCUCGUACCUUUUGCAUCAUGAUCUAGCCAGUAAUUUCAAGCGAAGAGACCUCUAGUUUGAACCCCCGAAACCGGACGAGCUACUUCGGGACAGCCUAUUGCAGGGCCAACCCGUCUCUGUGGCAAAAGAGUGGGAAGAUCCCCGAGUAGAGGUGAAAGAUCUACCGAGUCAGGUUAUAGCUGGUUACCCAGGAAAUGAAUAGAAGUUCAGCCCCGCCGAACCCUCGUACACAACAGUUUUACUUAAAUUAAGUUAUUAGGAUACCCGCGGGAGUUAGUCAAAGGAGGUACAGCUCCCUUAACAAAGGAUACAACCUUCACAGGAGGCUAAGGAAUUCAUCAAACCAAGGCCACAGGUUUUAGUGGGCCUAAAAGCAGCCAUCUGAAUAGAAAGCGUUAAAGCUCAAACCAAAAAAAGCCUAUUAUAUUAUCAUUUUAUCCUCAAUGCCCCUAAAAAUACUGGGCCUCCCUAUGCUCACAUAGGAAAGACCAUGCUAGAACGAGUAAUAAGAAGAACGAACUUCUCCCCGCACAUGUGUAAGUCGAAUCGGACCACCCAUCGACAAUUAACGAACCCAAUAAAAGAGGGCCAUGCAUAAUUGCUGUAUCAGGCCAAGAAAACCAUGCAAAACCUAAUCGUUACCCCCACACAGGAGUGCUAAAAACUAAGGGAAAGACUUAAAGAAGGAAAAGGAACUCGGCAAACCUAAACCUCGCCUGUUUACCAAAAACAUCGCCUCCUGCCCACUCAGCAUAGGAGGUCCCGCCUGCCCUGUGACCAAAAGUUUAACGGCCGCGGUAUUUUAACCGUGCAAAGGUAGCGCAAUCAAUUGUCUUUUAAAUGAAGACCUGUAUGAAUGGCAUAACGAGGGUUUAACUGUCUCUUUUUUCAGGUCAAUGAAACUGAUCUGUCCGUGCAGAAGCGGACAUAUUAACACAAGACGAGAAGACCCUAUGGAGCUUUAGACGCCCACCAACCGCGAAAAGCAGCCUACCUAAACAGAUGCUCUAAACAACGCGGUCCUGGUACAAACGUCUUCGGUUGGGGCGACCGCGGAGGAGAACAAAGCCUCCGAGAGGAAUGGGAACAAACCCUAAAACCAAGAGCCACAGCUCUAAGUCACAAAAAAUUUGACCGACAAUGAUCCGGCUUACUGCCGAUCAACGGACCAAGUUACCCUAGGGAUAACAGCGCAAUCCCCUCCCAGAGUCCAUAUCGACGAGGGGGUUUACGACCUCGAUGUUGGAUCAGGACAUCCUAAUGGUGCAGCCGCUAUUAA